This 272-nucleotide ribosomal RNA is filed under the name uncultured bacterium. RNAcentral's name for it is "partial 16S ribosomal RNA". It matches the Rfam family "Bacterial small subunit ribosomal RNA", at positions 39 to 339 of the family's 1533-position model. The record is from RNAcentral.
GCGGCAGGCCUAACACAUGCAAGUCGAGCGAAGUCUUCGGACUUAGCGGCGGACGGGUGAGUAACGCGUGGGAACAUACCCUUUGGUACGGAAUAGCCUCGGGAAACUGGGAGUAAUACCGUAUGUGCCCUUCGGGGGAAAGAUUUAUCGCCGAAAGAGAAGCCCGCGUUGGAUUAGCUAGUUGGUGGGGUAAUGGCCCACCAAGCCGACGAUCCAUAGCUGGUUUGAGAGGAUGAUCAGCCACACUGGGACUGAGAUACGGCCCAGACUCC